RNAcentral lists this long non-coding RNA (676 nucleotides) under Ictidomys tridecemlineatus (thirteen-lined ground squirrel). RNAcentral describes it as "lncRNA (ENSSTOG00000030609.1)". Lineage: Eukaryota; Metazoa; Chordata; Mammalia; Rodentia; Sciuridae. The record is from RNAcentral.
AAAUAGUAAGUGAAAUAGUAGAGUCAACAAAACAAAACAAAACAAAACAAAAAACCCUAGUCAAUUUUCUGAAAAAAAAAAAGGAAGUUAGUGUGCUUGUGUGUGGAGGAGUGGGGGUUGGGCUGGGGACUACAUCAGCUUCCAGCAUGUCAAACAAGCCCUGUACCACUGAGCAUCCAUCCCAGCCCUUGGAAGUUGUAUUUUGGAAAGCAUCCUGAAUUACUAGGUCUUCAGAAGUCUGUGGGUAGACUAGUCCAGUUGGGGACAGGCAGUGCAGGAUGGAUUCUGACUGUGCUGCUAAUUCUCCUGGGCUUUGAACAAGUCCUCAUCUGGGGGAAGGGCUUGAGGUCUGCUCUGUGCCUAACUGUCCAUGAGGACUAGUCUGGCCUCCAAGGGAGAGUCCAAGGAGUGGCCAUCUGACUGCUCCUCAACCUGGCAGGGUCUGUUCCUGGCCUCCGAUGUUCAGCAACUACAGCAGGCAAUUGAGGAAUGCAAGCAGGUGAUCCUGGAGCUGCCUGAGCAGUUGGAGAAGCAGAAGGAUGCAGUGGUGAGGCUCAUCCACCUGCGGCUGAAGCUCCAGGAGCUGAAGGACCCCAAUGAGGAUGAGCCCAACAUUAGGGUCCUUCUUGAGCACCGCUUCUACAAGGAGAAGAGCAAGAGUGUCAAGCAAACCUGC